UCGAGGGGUAACAGAGAAGCUUGCUUCUGCUGACGACCGGCGCACGGGUGCGUAACGCGUAUGCAACCUACCUCAUACAGGAGAAUAGCCCUUGGAAACGAGGAUUAAUACUCCAUGGUAUCAUUUUUUCGCAUGUUAGAAUGAUUAAAGAAUUUCGGUAUGAGAUGGGCAUGCGUCCCAUUAGCUAGUUGGUGAGGUAACGGCUCACCAAGGCGACGAUGGGUAGGGGGCCUGAGAGGGUGGUCCCCCACACUGGUACUGAGACACGGACCAGACUCCUACGGGAGGCAGCAGUGAGGAAUAUUGGUCAAUGGAGGCAACUCUGAACCAGCCAUGCCGCGUGAAGGAUGACGGCCCUAUGGGUUGUAAACUUCUUUUAUAUGGGAAGAAACUUAUCUACGUGUAGAUAACUGACGGUACCAUACGAAUAAGGAUCGG
This 438-nucleotide ribosomal RNA is filed under the name uncultured bacterium. RNAcentral describes it as "bacterial SSU rRNA". It matches the Rfam family "Bacterial small subunit ribosomal RNA", at positions 62 to 496 of the family's 1533-position model. The record is from RNAcentral.